GGACUACAGGGGUAUCUAAUCCUGUUUGAUCCCCACGCUGUCGUGCAUGAGCGUCAGUUACGAGCCAGUGAGCCGCCUUCGCCACCGGUGUUCUUCCCAAUAUCUACGAAUUUCACCUCUACACUGGGAAUUCCACUCACCUCUCUCGUACUCGAGCUCUACAGUUUCAAUGGCAGUUCCGGAGUUGAGCUCCGGGCUUUCACCACUGACUUGAAGAACCGCCUGCGCACGCUUUACGCCCAGUAAUUCCGAACAACGCUAGCCCCCUUCGUAUUACCGCGGCUGCUGGCAC
Molecule: ribosomal RNA, 292 nt
Filed under: uncultured bacterium
Lineage: Bacteria
Description: partial 16S ribosomal RNA
Source: RNAcentral